This 1478-nucleotide ribosomal RNA is filed under the name metagenome. RNAcentral describes it as "bacterial SSU rRNA". It matches the Rfam family "Bacterial small subunit ribosomal RNA". The record is from RNAcentral.
AGAGUUUGAUCAUGGCUCAGGACGAACGCUGGCGGCGUGCUUAACACAUGCAAGUCGAACGAAGCACUUUGAAGGAAUUCUUCGGAAGGAAUUCAACUUGACUUAGUGGCGGACGGGUGAGUAACGCGUGAGCAACCUGCCUACAAGAGGGGAACAACAGUUGGAAACGACUGCUAAUACCGCAUAAGACCACGCUAUCGCAUGGUAGAGAGGUCAAAGAUUUAUCGCUUGUAGAUGGGCUCGCGUCCGAUUAGCUGGUUGGUGAGGUAAUGGCUCACCAAGGCGACGAUCAGUAGCCGACCUGAGAGGGUGAUCGGCCACACUGGAACUGAGACACGGUCCAGACUCCUACGGGAGGCAGCAGUGGGGAAUAUUGGGCAAUGGGGGCAACCCUGACCCAGCAACGCCGCGUGAGGGAAGAAGGUUUUCGGAUUGUAAACCUCUGUCCUUGGGGACGAAGAAGUGACGGUACCCAAGGAGGAAGCUCCGGCUAACUACGUGCCAGCAGCCGCGGUAAUACGUAGGGAGCGAGCGUUGUCCGGAAUUACUGGGCGUAGGCGGUUUGGUAAGUCAGAUGUGAAAUACCCGGGCUUAACCCGGGGGCUGCAUCUGAUACUGUCAGACUUGAGUGCAGGAGAGGAAAGCGGAAUUCCUAGUGUAGCGGUGAAAUGCGUAGAUAUUAGGAGGAACACCAGUGGCGAAGGCGGCUUUCUGGACUGUAACUGACGCUGAGGCACGAAAGCGUGGGGAGCAAACAGGAUUAGAUACCCUGGUAGUCCACGCCGUAAACGAUGGAUACUAGGUGUAGGCAUCAUAAGAUGUCUGUGCCGCAGCAAACGCAUUAAGUAUCCCGCCUGGGGAGUACGACCGCAAGGUUGAAACUCAAAGGAAUUGACGGGGGCCCGCACAAGCAGCGGAGCAUGUGGUUUAAUUCGAAGCAACGCGAAGAACCUUACCAAGGCUUGACAUCCUCUGACCGCCAUAGAGAUAUGGCUUCCCUUCGGGGCAGAGAGACAGGUGGUGCAUGGUUGUCGUCAGCUCGUGUCGUGAGAUGUUGGGUUAAGUCCCGCAACGAGCGCAACCCUUAUCAUUAGUUGCCAGCGAGUAACGUCGGGAACUCUAAUGAGACUGCCGGGGACAACUCGGAGGAAGGUGGGGACGACGUCAAAUCAUCAUGCCCCUUAUGUCUUGGGCUACACACGUGCUACAAUGGCCGGUACAAAGAGCUGCGAAACCGUAAGGUCAAGCGAAUCUCAAAAAGCCGGUCCCAGUUCGGAUUGUGGGCUGCAACCCGCCCACAUGAAGUCGGAGUUGCUAGUAAUCGCGAAUCAGCAUGUCGCGGUGAAUGCGUUCCCGGGCCUUGUACACACCGCCCGUCACACCAUGGAAGUUGGGGGUACCCGAAGCCGGUGGCCUAACCGCAAGGGGGGAGCCGUCGAAGGUAAAACCAAUGACUGGGGUGAAGUCGUAACAAGGUA